UACGAGGGGUGCAAGCGUUGUUCGGAAUCACUGGGCGUAAAGGGAGCGUAGGCGGAAGUGCAAGCAAUCUGUAUAAUCCUGGGGCCCAACCCCAGUUCUGCAGAUUGGACUGUAUUUCUUGAAUAGUUCAGAGGCAAGCGGAAUUUCUGGUGUAGCGGUGGAAUGCGUAGAGAUCAGAAAGAACACCAAUGGCGAAGGCAGCUUGCUGGGGACUUAUUGACGCUGAGGCUCGAAAGUGUGGGUAGCAAACAGGAUUAGAUACCCUGGUAGUCCACACUGUAAACGAUGCAUACUGGGUGUCCGAAAUUCGUUUCGGGUACCGUAGCUAACGCGUUAAGUAUGCCGCCUGGGGAGUACGUACGCAAGUAUGAA
RNAcentral lists this ribosomal RNA (372 nucleotides) under uncultured bacterium. RNAcentral's name for it is "bacterial SSU rRNA". It matches the Rfam family "Bacterial small subunit ribosomal RNA", at positions 524 to 898 of the family's 1533-position model. The record is from RNAcentral.